UACGUAGGUGACCAGCGUUGUCCGGAUUUACUGGGCGUAAAGAGCGCGCAGGCGGUCGUUCAAGUCGAGUGUGAAAGCCCCCGGCUCAACUGGGGAGGGUCAUUCGACACUGAUCGACUGGAAGGCAGGAGAGGGAAGCGGAAUUCCCGGUGUAGUGGUGAAAUGCGUAGAUAUCGGGAGGAACACCAGUGGCGAAGGCGGCUUCCUGGCCUGUUCUUGACGCUGAGGCGCGAAAGCUAGGGGAGCAAACGGG
This 253-nucleotide ribosomal RNA is filed under the name uncultured bacterium. Its description in RNAcentral is "partial 16S ribosomal RNA". It matches the Rfam family "Bacterial small subunit ribosomal RNA", at positions 524 to 776 of the family's 1533-position model. The record is from RNAcentral.